This 253-nucleotide ribosomal RNA is filed under the name uncultured bacterium. RNAcentral describes it as "partial 16S ribosomal RNA". It matches the Rfam family "Bacterial small subunit ribosomal RNA", at positions 524 to 776 of the family's 1533-position model. The record is from RNAcentral.
UACGUAGGGACCAAGCGUUGUUCGGAUUUACUGGGCGUAAAGGGCGCGUAGGCGGCAAUUCAAGUCAUCUGUGAAAUCUCCGGGCUUAACUCGGAACGGUCAGAUGAUACUGCUUUGCUAGAGUGCGGAAGGGGCAAUCGGAAUUCUUGGUGUAGCGGUGAAAUGCGUAGAUAUCAAGAGGAACACCUGAGGUGAAGACGGGUUGCUGGGCCGACACUGACGCUGACAGCGCGAAAGCCAGGGAGCAAACGGG